RNAcentral lists this ribosomal RNA (302 nucleotides) under uncultured bacterium. RNAcentral's name for it is "partial 16S ribosomal RNA". It matches the Rfam family "Bacterial small subunit ribosomal RNA", at positions 508 to 809 of the family's 1533-position model. The record is from RNAcentral.
GCAGCAGCCGCGGUAAUACGGAGGGGGCUAGCGUUGUUCGGAAUUACUGGGCGUAAAGCGCACGUAGGCGGCUUGGUAAGUUAGAGGUGAAAGCCUGGAGCUCAACUCCAGAAUUGCCUUUAAGACUGCCGAGCUAGCAGGUGAGAGAGGUAAGUGGAAUUCCGAGUGUAGAGGUGAAAUUCGUAGAUAUUCGGAAGAACACCAGUGGCGAAGGCGGCUUACUGGCUCAUACUGGACGCUGAGGUGCGAAAGCGUGGGGAGCAAACAGGAUUAGAUACCCCAGUAGUCCCUGUCUCUUAUAA